CAGUCGCCACGGGAAUACGUAGGGUGCAAGCGUUGUCCGGAAUUAUUGGGCGUAAAGAGCGUGUAGGCGGCUCGACAAGUCCGCUGUGAAAGUCCAGGGCUCAACCCUGGAAUGCCGGUGGAUACUGUCGAGCUAGAGUCCGGAAGGGGCGAGUGGAACUCCUGGUGUAGCGGUGAAAUGCGCAGAUAUCAGGAAGAACACCAAUGGCGAAGGCAGCUCGCUGGGACGUGACUGACGCUGAGACGCGAAAGCGUGGGGAGCGAACAGGAUUAGAUACCCGCGUAGUCCCUGUCUCUUAUAC
Molecule: ribosomal RNA, 301 nt
Filed under: uncultured bacterium
Lineage: Bacteria
Description: partial 16S ribosomal RNA
Rfam family: Bacterial small subunit ribosomal RNA
Source: RNAcentral